This 254-nucleotide ribosomal RNA is filed under the name uncultured bacterium. Its description in RNAcentral is "partial 16S ribosomal RNA". It matches the Rfam family "Bacterial small subunit ribosomal RNA", at positions 524 to 776 of the family's 1533-position model. The record is from RNAcentral.
UACGUAGGGGGCAAGCGUUGUCCGGAAUUAUUGGGCGUAAAGAGCUCGUAGGCGGCUUAGUAAGUCGGGUGUGAAACCUCCAGGCUCAACCUGGAGACGCCACCCGAUACUGCUGUGGCUAGAGUCCGGUAGGGGAGCGUGGAAUUCCUGGUGUAGCGGUGAAAUGCGCAGAUAUCUGGAGGAAUACCGGUGGCGAAGGCGGCAUCCUGGACCGGCAUUGACGCUGAGGAGCGAAAGCCAGGGGAGCAAACGGG